UGGUAAUUGUUCUUUGCCACCACUAGUGUAAAUCAGGUAAUGUUACAGGCUCAACUCCUCAUUCACAUAUAAGAUGGUGGGAUAUGUGGUGGGUAAUUCCUGGGUCGAUUGAGGCUUUGUUUCAGUGGUGGGCAGGGGCUUUGGUUAAGAAAAAAGAGGUGAAGGUGUGGAAAAUUGUGCCGCUAGUUUUAUUUUGCCAAUUUGGUAGUUAAGCAAUGAUAUAUUGUUUAACAGUGGCCAUCCUAAUUUUGAUGAUUUGGAGGACAUUGUGAAGACCAGGAUUGCAUUUUGGGCUAAGAACAAUUUACCAGGUGUGCAGUACGGAGUGCAUGAUUUUGUUCAUAGGUCAGACAUUGCUUGAGGUGAAGGGUGUUUACUGGGGCACUGUGGUGGCAGUGUUCUGGGACGCCUUGUGCUUGUUUUGCUGUCAAGUCCUGCUGUUGCUGUGUGUGUAGUCCAGUUGCUGGGUGCGUAGUCCCACUGCUGUGGUCUUGUUAUGGGAAGCCCUCUGCUGGUGUUUUUGCUGUUAUGAAUUGCUGCUGCUGGUCCUAUAGUUGCUGGUUCUCUUGUUGCUGGUGUUUGCUGUCAUGUGUAGUAACAGUUUGCAGUAGUAGUGUGCUGCUGUAGCUGUGUACUUGGUGCACUUAUCAGUUUGUUAGCAGUCCUGUUAUAGCUUCUGUGUUGUUUGCUUGCUGGGUUGUCAUGCAGUUGCUAAUGUUUGCGGGGUUGAAAUGCUGUCGCUGAUGUUUGCUGGGUUGACACGCUGUUAUAGCUGUUGUUUUGCUACCUUGGGUGCUGUUGGUGCUGCUGUCUAUUGGUGCUGCUUGUUGCUACCUAGGGUGUUAAAUACCGGUGCCUCUUCCUGUGGCAAGGAGUUUGAUGGUGUAUUGUUUGGAAGUUGCUGGAAGAUUUUACGAGGGAAGGAGGUGGCAGAGUUGGAUGGUUGUCCUUGCGGUGUGGUUGUUGAAUCAUGAAAUUGUCAACUAGCAAGAUGAGUGGAGAGAAUUCAAAAAAAGCUGAGAAAAGAAUUAGGAAGGAGCGUGAAGCUAUAAUUGCUACGACAAUGGAUGAUCUUCAAGAUGUAAUAGGAAGUAUAGUUGCAUGGCCUAGUCAAUUCAUUUUUUUGGACUAAAUAUUAGAAUAAUUGAUUUACGAUUUGUAGUUAUGCUUUUUGGAUGUUUAAAGUCGUAUUUUAGAAAUUAGUAAAUCUUAUGAUUUGGAUACUUUUCUUAGUUUGUAUGUUUGAGAUUGUUAUUAGCUUGAUAUGAUAAAAGUUAAAGAUGGAAGUUAGUAUGAA
Molecule: non-coding RNA, 1297 nt
Organism: Camellia sinensis
Lineage: Eukaryota; Viridiplantae; Streptophyta; Magnoliopsida; Ericales; Theaceae
Source: RefSeq, a predicted model, not a curated record